Molecule: ribosomal RNA, 2734 nt
Filed under: Vibrio cholerae
Lineage: Bacteria; Pseudomonadati; Pseudomonadota; Gammaproteobacteria; Vibrionales; Vibrionaceae
Description: 23S ribosomal RNA
Rfam family: Bacterial large subunit ribosomal RNA
Source: RNAcentral
AAAUUUGAGUCCAGGUUAACAGAGCAAACCGGGGGAACUGAAACAUCUAAGUACCCCGAGGAGAAGAAAUCAACCGAGAUUCCGGUAGUAGCGGCGAGCGAACCUGGAUUAGCCCUUAAGCACUCGGUGAAGUAGGUGAACAAGCUGGAAAGCUUGGCGAUACAGGGUGAUAGCCCCGUAACCGACGCUUCAUCGAGCGUGAAAUCGAGUAGGGCGGGACACGUGAUAUCCUGUCUGAAUAUGGGGGGACCAUCCUCCAAGGCUAAAUACUCCUGACUGACCGAUAGUGAACCAGUACCGUGAGGGAAAGGCGAAAAGAACCCCUGUGAGGGGAGUGAAAUAGAACCUGAAACCGUGUACGUACAAGCAGUAGGAGCACCUUCGUGGUGUGACUGCGUACCUUUUGUAUAAUGGGUCAGCGACUUAUAUUCAGUGGCAAGGUUAACCGUAUAGGGGAGCCGUAGCGAAAGCGAGUCUUAACUGGGCGCUCAGUCUCUGGAUAUAGACCCGAAACCGGGUGAUCUAGCCAUGGGCAGGUUGAAGGUUGAGUAACAUCAACUGGAGGACCGAACCGACUAAUGUUGAAAAAUUAGCGGAUGACUUGUGGCUAGGGGUGAAAGGCCAAUCAAACUCGGAGAUAGCUGGUUCUCCCCGAAAGCUAUUUAGGUAGCGCCUCGGACGAAUACUACUGGGGGUAGAGCACUGUUAAGGCUAGGGGGUCAUCCCGACUUACCAACCCUUUGCAAACUCCGAAUACCAGUAAGUACUAUCCGGGAGACACACGGCGGGUGCUAACGUCCGUCGUGGAGAGGGAAACAACCCAGACCGCCAGCUAAGGUCCCAAAGUAUUGCUAAGUGGGAAACGAUGUGGGAAGGCUCAGACAGCUAGGAUGUUGGCUUAGAAGCAGCCAUCAUUUAAAGAAAGCGUAAUAGCUCACUAGUCGAGUCGGCCUGCGCGGAAGAUGUAACGGGGCUAAGCAAUACACCGAAGCUGCGGCAAUAUCUUUUAGAUAUUGGGUAGGGGAGCGUUCUGUAAGCCGUUGAAGGUGAAUCGUAAGGUUUGCUGGAGGUAUCAGAAGUGCGAAUGCUGACAUGAGUAACGACAAAGGGGGUGAAAAACCUCCUCGCCGGAAGACCAAGGGUUCCUGUCCAACGUUAAUCGGGGCAGGGUGAGUCGACCCCUAAGGUGAGGCCGAAAGGCGUAAUCGAUGGGAAACGGGUUAAUAUUCCCGUACUUCUGACUAUUGCGAUGGGGGGACGGAGAAGGCUAGGUGGGCCAGGCGACGGUUGUCCUGGUUCAAGUGCGUAGGCUUGAGAGUUAGGUAAAUCCGGCUCUCUCUAAGGCUGAGACACGACGUCGAGCUGCUACGGCAGUGAAGUCAUUGAUGCCAUGCUUCCAGGAAAAGCCUCUAAGCUUCAGAUAGUCAGGAAUCGUACCCCAAACCGACACAGGUGGUCGGGUAGAGAAUACCAAGGCGCUUGAGAGAACUCGGGUGAAGGAACUAGGCAAAAUGGUACCGUAACUUCGGGAGAAGGUACGCUCUUGAUGGUGAAGUCCCUCGCGGAUGGAGCUGACGAGAGUCGCAGAUACCAGGUGGCUGCAACUGUUUAUUAAAAACACAGCACUGUGCAAAAUCGCAAGAUGACGUAUACGGUGUGACGCCUGCCCGGUGCCGGAAGGUUAAUUGAUGGGGUUAGCGCAAGCGAAGCUCUUGAUCGAAGCCCCGGUAAACGGCGGCCGUAACUAUAACGGUCCUAAGGUAGCGAAAUUCCUUGUCGGGUAAGUUCCGACCUGCACGAAUGGCGUAAUGAUGGCCACGCUGUCUCCACCCGAGACUCAGUGAAAUUGAAAUCGCUGUGAAGAUGCAGUGUACCCGCGGCUAGACGGAAAGACCCCGUGAACCUUUACUACAGCUUGGCACUGAACAUUGAACCUACAUGUGUAGGAUAGGUGGGAGGCUAUGAAGACGUGACGCCAGUUGCGUUGGAGCCGUCCUUGAAAUACCACCCUUGUAUGUUUGAUGUUCUAACUUAGACCCAUUAUCUGGGUUGAGGACAGUGCCUGGUGGGUAGUUUGACUGGGGCGGUCUCCUCCCAAAGAGUAACGGAGGAGCACGAAGGUGGGCUAAUCACGGUUGGACAUCGUGAGGUUAGUGCAAUGGCAUAAGCCCGCUUAACUGCGAGAAUGACGGUUCGAGCAGGUGCGAAAGCAGGUCAUAGUGAUCCGGUGGUUCUGUAUGGAAGGGCCAUCGCUCAACGGAUAAAAGGUACUCCGGGGAUAACAGGCUGAUACCGCCCAAGAGUUCAUAUCGACGGCGGUGUUUGGCACCUCGAUGUCGGCUCAUCACAUCCUGGGGCUGAAGUCGGUCCCAAGGGUAUGGCUGUUCGCCAUUUAAAGUGGUACGCGAGCUGGGUUUAGAACGUCGUGAGACAGUUCGGUCCCUAUCUGCCGUGGGCGUUGGAAGAUUGAAGGGGGCUGCUCCUAGUACGAGAGGACCGGAGUGGACGAACCUCUGGUGUUCGGGUUGUGUCGCCAGACGCAUUGCCCGGUAGCUAAGUUCGGAAUUGAUAAGCGCUGAAAGCAUCUAAGCGCGAAGCGAGCCCUGAGAUGAGUCUUCCCUGAUACUUUAAGUAUCCUAAAGGGUUGUUCGAGACUAGAACGUUGAUAGGCAGGGUGUGUAAGCGUUGUGAGGCGUUGAGCUAACCUGUACUAAUUGCCCGUGAGGCUUAACCA